RNAcentral lists this long non-coding RNA (1056 nucleotides) under Monodelphis domestica (gray short-tailed opossum). RNAcentral's name for it is "lncRNA (ENSMODG00000048948.1)". The record is from RNAcentral. Lineage: Eukaryota; Metazoa; Chordata; Mammalia; Didelphimorphia; Didelphidae.
AUGAGUAAGGCGAGGGGCACCCGAGGCUCGACCUAGGGAGGCGGCUGGGAAGCUUACAAGAAAGCACUGAGGGGCAAAGCGAGGGCGGACGGUCAACGUAUAAUCAACACCCCCGGGCUUCCCCUUUAGGAGAAAAAAAAAAAUAGGUGGGGACCUAGCCGCGGAAAGAAAAUGGAAGGAGCUACGAAGAGGGGGCGGGAGCACCCUAGACCACUCGGGCCGACACACCCGCAGCCACCCACUUAAUGAAAGGGAGCGCUCGCUGCAAACGCCCUGCUUUGUAAAAAAGAAAGCCGGGAAGACCCAGCUGCGCGCUUCGAGCCGGCCUCCAGCCUCUGGCGCGCUCGCUCGCUCACACACGCGUACACACACACAGACACACGCGCACACACGCGCCGAGCCGCCGGGUCCGCGGACGUGCCAAGUGACCCGAAAGAGAAACAGAGAGACUGGGGGUGGGGGACGAAUGGAGGGGAGAGUGGGAAGGAGGCAGGCAGAGGGAGAGAGAGUUUGCACUAAGCUCCAGCCCCCGGCAGCGACUGACCAAUUCUGCCACCGCGCCGCCAGCCCAAGCAGCCAGACUCGCCCCGCCCCGCCCCUUGUGACGCCACAGGCGUAUCGUCAGCACGUCCGCACGGCGGGGGAGGGUAAAAGGAAGGAGGUGGGCUCGGUAGCCUCGCCCUCUUGCCUAAAUUCUGAAGGUCUUCUUAAACUGCACAGUAUUCUCCAAAAAUCAAAGUCUCUAGAGGAAUUCUCUAUCAAUACAGAAUUUCUCUUCCUUCUAGAUUGUGUGUUGGAUAUUCUCCAUGAUGGUAACAACUACUUUUGGCAGGCAAGAAUCUCCCUGUUUUAUGCUUCACUUGAUGUCGAUGAUGAAAAGAUCAUCAGAUAAAGUUAUCUUUUUCUUAAAGUUGAUCAAAGAAUCUAGUAUGAUCUUAUCAUGAAUACAAACAAUACCGACAUUAUAAGAGAUUUUAAGAGUGUAUUUUGUUCUAGUCAAUGAAAUGCUUUAAAAACAAUAAUAAAAAACCAAUAAACAUAGUGAUAUGUAUUUUC